GCACUGGCUCAAUCAGUAGAGCAUGAGACUCUUAAUCUCAAGCUCAUGGGUUCAAGCCCCUCCCUGAGUA
Molecule: non-coding RNA, 70 nt
Organism: Podarcis lilfordi (Lilford's wall lizard)
Lineage: Eukaryota; Metazoa; Chordata; Lepidosauria; Squamata; Lacertidae
Source: the annotation of a GenBank genome assembly